This 644-nucleotide long non-coding RNA is filed under the name Phascolarctos cinereus (koala). RNAcentral's name for it is "lncRNA (ENSPCIG00000033254.1)". The record is from RNAcentral. Lineage: Eukaryota; Metazoa; Chordata; Mammalia; Diprotodontia; Phascolarctidae.
GGAGCCUGGGGAUGGUGGUAUAGGGCAGACAUCUGGUGCUGCUGGACACAGUGGAGGUAGCAGUUGCUGAACACCACUCCCAGGCCCAGCGGGAAGCUCUGGCCCCUCAGCUGGUGCUGGCCCCUGUGGGGCAGGGCACCCCAUACAGCCCGGGGACCCCUGCGCUCACAGAGUUCUCUGGACUUCAAAGAGAGCUCCCCCCAGCGGUGCACCUGCUGACCCUGGCCCGCUGGGGCCCCAACACAGUCCUGCUGCGCCUGGAGCACAUUUUUGGGCGUGGGGAGGGCAGCAUGUUCAACCUGUCCCAGCCAGUGACCCUGAACCUACAGGAUCUGUUCUCCGCCUUCACCAUCAGCCACCUGGAGGAGACCCUCUUGGGGCCGGGGCUGAGGUGUGACGCUCCUUUCAUCUCCUGUCUCUCUGGUCUCGCUCUAACAGGCCCUGCUCCUGUGCAGCCGGCCCCUCCCUGGACCCCUCUGCUGUCACUCUCCAGCCCAUGGAAAUCCGCACCUUCCUGGCCUCUGUCACCUGGAGCAAGGAAAGGGACAGAUGAGGUUCUGAGCCCUGAGCUGCCCUUCGCAGACCAUGCUUUCUCUCCCCAGGCUGGACCAGAAGGAGCUCUCCUGUCACUUUCUUAGGGCUUC